RNAcentral lists this ribosomal RNA (440 nucleotides) under uncultured bacterium. RNAcentral describes it as "partial 16S ribosomal RNA". It matches the Rfam family "Bacterial small subunit ribosomal RNA", at positions 338 to 795 of the family's 1533-position model. The record is from RNAcentral.
CCUACGGGGGGCAGCAGUAGGGAAUAUUGCUCAAUGGGGGAAACCCUGAACCAGCAACGCCGCGUGGAGGAUGAAGGUUUUAGGAUUUUAAACUCCUUUUUUUAGAGAAGAUAAUUACGGUAUCUCACGAAUAAGCACCGGCUAACUCCGUUCCAGCAGCCGCGGUAAUACGGAGGGUGCAAGCGUUAUUCGGAAUCACUGGGCGUAAAGCGUGCGCAGGCGGGCUUGUAAGUCAGAUGUGAAAUCCUGUGGCUUAACUACAGAACUGCAUUUGAAACUAUGAGUCUAGAGUGUGGUAGAGGUAGGUGGAAUUCUUGGUGUAGGGGUAAAAUCCGUAGAUAUCAAGAGGAAUACUCAUUGCGAAGGCGACCUACUAGACCAUUACUGACGCUGAUGCACGAAAGCGUGGGGAGCAAACAGGAUUAGAUACCCCUGUAGUC